AUAACCCCUACAAUGAUGACUUGUAGCUGGGGUACGAGCACCAAAAUAAUGGCCCGACUCUCGAGACCUCUUGACCUCCCUCUCCUCUCUCUCCCUAACAUGCAUACCCUCAAUGCUCCUAGGAAUGCUCACCACCUGCUGAGAAGGAAUAUCCAUCUACAACUCACAAGUCAUGCUAGACCUGAUGCUGGGAAUAACCCCCUUAAUAAACUGGCAAACCCUCUCACGAACAGUAGAAACCCAGGCCGGUGCAUGCCUAGCCAAACUAGUAUAACGGACAACAUACUCUGAAAUAGUCAUAACACCGUGUGCAAAUGCUCAAACUCGACAUGUCAUGCAUAUCUGAGGCUCUGAGGAACAAACUCUCUCAAAAAUGGAUCUGAAAACUGGGUCCAAGUUAGCAAAGUAGCCUCGUCCGGACUGUCUAACUCAUAGGUGCAGCACCACUUAUAGGCAGCUCCUCGAAGCUGGAAAGUUGUGAAUGAAACCCCGUUUGUUCGUGAUAUACCCAUGGUACAGAAAAUACGAUAGCGCUCCUAAUAAAUCCCAAGGUAUCAUCCGAUUCUAAUCUAUUGAACACCGAAGGAUCAUAUUUCUUGAACCUCUCAAGUCUCCGUUGCUCAUCCUCUAAAGUUGAUGCC
Molecule: long non-coding RNA, 641 nt
Filed under: Nicotiana benthamiana
Lineage: Eukaryota; Viridiplantae; Streptophyta; Magnoliopsida; Solanales; Solanaceae
Description: long non-coding RNA (NBEN_LNC012713)
Source: RNAcentral